RNAcentral lists this non-coding RNA (28 nucleotides) under Equus caballus (horse). RNAcentral also lists the same sequence under 2 other names. Lineage: Eukaryota; Metazoa; Chordata; Mammalia; Perissodactyla; Equidae. The record is from RNAcentral.
AUGCAGUGUGGAACAUGAUGAACUGAAC